AAGUCGUAACAAGGUUUCCGUAGGUGAACCUGCGGAAGGAUCAUUAAUAAAUAUAUAAAACAAAUUUAUUAAUUUAAAAAUAAAAAGAUUCCUAUAUAUUAUUUUUAAUAAUAUUAAGGUUUCUUUUUAUAAUUUAAAAGUUAUUAAUUUUUUUUAAUAAUUUUUAAAUUAAAUAAGUAAAUUUUUAAUUUUAAAACUUGUUUUAAAACUUGUUUUAUUAUUAAAAAAUUACUUAUAUAAAAAAAACUGUAAUGUAAAUUACUUUUUAUAAUAUAUAUACAUUUGUAUCCUUAUUAAAUUAUAUACUUUUUUUAAAAUAUAUAUUUUUAUAUAUAUUUAAAAAUUAUAAUAUAACUUUUAACAAUGGAUCUCUUGGCUCUU
Molecule: unclassified non-coding RNA, 381 nt
Filed under: fungal sp.
Lineage: Eukaryota; Fungi
Description: partial internal transcribed spacer region
Rfam family: Eukaryotic small subunit ribosomal RNA (bases 1-46)
Source: RNAcentral